RNAcentral lists this ribosomal RNA (274 nucleotides) under uncultured bacterium. RNAcentral's name for it is "partial 16S ribosomal RNA". It matches the Rfam family "Bacterial small subunit ribosomal RNA", at positions 523 to 796 of the family's 1533-position model. The record is from RNAcentral.
AUACGGAGGGGGCUAGCGUUGUUCGGAAUUACUGGGCGUAAAGCGCGUGUAGGCGGAUCGUUAAGUCAGGGGUGAAAGCCCGGGGCUCAACCCCGGAACUGCCCUUGAUACUGGCGAUCUAGAGUCCGGAAGAGGUGGGCGGAAUUCCCGGUGUAGAGGUGAAAUUCGUAGAUAUCGGGAGGAACACCAGUGGCGAAGGCGGCUCACUGGUCCGGUACUGACGCUGUGACGCGAAAGCGUGGGGAGCAAACAGGAUUAGAAACCCUAGUAGUCC